GGGCCGGUAGCUCAGCGGUUAGAGCCGCGGACUCAUAAUCCGUAGGUCCCUGGUUCGAAUCCAGGCCGGCCCA
Molecule: transfer RNA, 73 nt
Filed under: Solirubrobacter pauli
Lineage: Bacteria; Bacillati; Actinomycetota; Thermoleophilia; Solirubrobacterales; Solirubrobacteraceae
Rfam family: tRNA
About the family: Transfer RNA (tRNA) molecules are approximately 80 nucleotides in length.
Source: Rfam by way of RNAcentral